This 243-nucleotide ribosomal RNA is filed under the name uncultured bacterium. RNAcentral's name for it is "partial 16S ribosomal RNA". It matches the Rfam family "Bacterial small subunit ribosomal RNA", at positions 1257 to 1500 of the family's 1533-position model. The record is from RNAcentral.
GUGAUGCAGAGUAAAACUCAAAAAACGGUACUCAGUUCGGAUUGAAGGCUGAAAUUCGCCUUCAUGAAGCUGGAAUUGCUAGUAAUGGCAGGUCAGCAUACUGCCGUGAAUACGUUCCCGGGCCUUGUACACACCGCCCGUCACACCAUGAGAGUUAGGAAUACCCGAAGCCUGUGAGCUAACUUUUAGAGGCAGCAGUCGAAGGUAGAACUAAUGAUUGGGGUGAAGUCGUAACAAGGUAAC